GAUGCCGAAGGGCCAGCAGCGGCCCCGAAGCUCCGGGCUGGCCGCGCUGUCGCUCUGCCGCGCCCCGGUCUCGAAGUGAAGGUGCCUCUUCCUGGCUAGCCCACCUACAUGCUGUCAUCACUGGGCUUCUGCAACUCUCAGUCUUUGUGGCUGCACCCUUCCCUUCUGAAUCCUGAGGACCCAUGAGUGUCAGGCCCAUCAUGAAAUUGGUCGUCUUACUGGAUGAAACCCAAAGUUGUCCCAUGAAGGACUCCUGAAAACCCCUUUCAAGCCUCGGCCACAGAUGAUCUGCGGAAUGCUCAUUAAGGGGGAAACAAAGAGGGGCCUGGAAGUCAGUCUCCCACUAGCAGCCUUUGGAUGAAGACAUAGAACUCUCAGCUCUGCCUUCACCAUGCCUGCCUGCAUGCUGCCAUGUUCCCACCUUGAUGAUAAUGGACUGAACCUCUGAAACUGUCUUUCCCCUGCAGCUUUCCCGAGGCUGUACAGCAUUUAUUGGUGCUCAUCUGUUUGAGUAGAGCUGGCAUAGAGGACUGCCACCGGCUGGGAGGGGCCAUGGUACCAGAGGUCUUGGGUGCCUGAAGAUACUCCCCCUAGCCCUGAUGCCUUGGAAGAGAAGCCCUUCAAGACAAGCUGAUGCCAGGCCCUGGCCAGAGCUUCAUGUGGGAGGAAGGGUGACCAGCCAGUUUCACGCUCCAGCUGCCUGCUACCAUGCCUCCCCACGUCAUGGACUCUCCUUCUGUAACCAUAAGCCAAAAUAAACACUUUUCCCCCUCUGUAA
RNAcentral lists this long non-coding RNA (778 nucleotides) under Mus musculus (house mouse). Its description in RNAcentral is "RIKEN cDNA 2310015A10 gene". The record is from RNAcentral. Lineage: Eukaryota; Metazoa; Chordata; Mammalia; Rodentia; Muridae.